GACGAACGCUGGCGGCGUGCUUAACACAUGCAAGUCGAACGGAAAGGCCCUGCUUUUGUGGGGUGCUCGAGCGGCGAACGGGUGAGUAACACGUGAGUAACCUGCCCUUGACUUUGGGAUAACUUCAGGAAACUGGGGCUAAUACCGGAUAGGAGCUCCUGCUGCAUGGGGGGGGUUGGAAAGUUUCGGCGGUAGGGGAUGGAAUCGCGGCUUAUCAGCUUGUUGGUGGGGUAGUGGAAUCCAAAGCCUUCGACGGGUAGGCGGCCUGAGAGGGUGAACGGCCACAUUGGGACUGAGAGACGGCCCAGACUCCUACGGGCGGCAGCAGUGGGGAAUAUUGCACAAUGGGCGGAAGCCUGAUGCAGCAGCGCCGCGUGCGGGAUGACGGCCUACGGGUUGUAAACCGCUUUCGCCUGUGACGAAGCGUGAGUGACGGUAAUGGGUAAAGAAGCACCGGCUAACUACGUG
This 468-nucleotide ribosomal RNA is filed under the name uncultured bacterium. RNAcentral describes it as "partial 16S ribosomal RNA". It matches the Rfam family "Bacterial small subunit ribosomal RNA", at positions 28 to 507 of the family's 1533-position model. The record is from RNAcentral.